CAUGGCUCAGGAUGAACGCUGGCGGCGUGCUUAACACAUGCAAGUCGAACGAUGAAGCCCAGCUUGCUGGGUGGAUUAGUGGCGAACGGGUGAGUAACACGUGAGCAACCUGCCCCUGACUCUGGGAUAAGCGCUGGAAACGGCGUCUAAUACUGGAUAUGUCCCGUCACCGCAUGGUGUGCGGGUGGAAAGAUUUUUCGGUUGGGGAUGGGCUCGCGGCCUAUCAGCUUGUUGGUGAGGUAAUGGCUCACCAAGGCGUCGACGGGUAGCCGGCCUGAGAGGGUGACCGGCCACACUGGGACUGAGACACGGCCCAGACUCCUACGGGAGGCAGCAGUGGGGAAUAUUGCACAAUGGGCGGAAGCCUGAUGCAGCAACGCCGCGUGAGGGAUGACGGCCUUCGGGUUGUAAACCUCUUUUAGCAGGGAAGAAGCGAAAGUGACGGUACCUGCAGAAAAAGCACCGGCUAACUACGUGCCAGCAGCCGCGGUAAUACGUAGGGUGCAAGCGUUAUCCGGAAUUAUUGGGCGUAAAGAGCUCGUAGGCGGUCUGUCGCGUCUGCUGUGAAAUCCCGAGGCUCAACCUCGGGCUUGCAGUGGGUACGGGCAGACUAGAGUGCGGUAGGGGAGAUUGGAAUUCCUGGUGUAGCGGUGGAAUGCGCAGAUAUCAGGAGGAACACCGAUGGCGAAGGCAGAUCUCUGGGCCGUAACUGACGCUGAGGAGCGAAAGGGUGGGGAGCAAACAGGCUUAGAUACCCUGGUAGUCCACCCCGU
Molecule: ribosomal RNA, 773 nt
Filed under: Microbacterium esteraromaticum
Lineage: Bacteria; Bacillati; Actinomycetota; Actinomycetes; Micrococcales; Microbacteriaceae
Description: bacterial SSU rRNA
Rfam family: Bacterial small subunit ribosomal RNA
Source: RNAcentral